Molecule: ribosomal RNA, 467 nt
Filed under: uncultured bacterium
Lineage: Bacteria
Description: partial 16S ribosomal RNA
Rfam family: Bacterial small subunit ribosomal RNA
Source: RNAcentral
ACGAACGCUUGCGGCGUGCUUAACACAUGCCAGUCGAACGGAAAGGCCCUGCUUUUGUGGGGUGCUCGAGUGGCGAACGGGUGAGUAACACGUGAGUAACCUGCCCUUGACUUUGGGAUAACUUCAGGAAACUGGGGCUAAUACCGGAUAGGAGCUCCUGCUGCAUGGUGGGGGUUGGAAAGUUUCGGCGGCUGGGGAUGGACUCGCGGCUUAUCAGCUUGUUGGUGGGGUAGUGGCUUACCAAGGCUUUGACGGGUAGCCGGCCUGAGAGGGUGACCGGCCACAUUGGGACUGAGAUACGGCCCAGACUCCUACGGGAGGCAGCAGUGGGGAAUAUUGCACAAUGGGCGGAAGCCUGAUGCAGCAACGCCGCGUGCGGGAUGACGGCCUUCGGGUUGUAUACCGCUUUCGCCUGUGACGAAGCGUGAGUGACGGUAAUGGGUAAAGAAGCACCGGCUAACUACGUG